AUACGUAGGGUGCAAGCGUUAAUCGGAAUUACUGGGCGUAAAGCGUGCGCAGGCGGUUUUGUAAGACAGAGGUGAAAUCCCCGGGCUCCACCUGGGAACUGCCUUUGGGACUGCAAGGCUAGAGUACGGCAGAGGGGGAUGGAAUUCCGCGUGUAGCAGUGAAAUGCGUAGAUAUGCGGAGGAACACCGAUGGCGAAGGCAAUCCCCUUGGCCUGUACUGACGCUCAUGCACGAAAGCGUGGGGAGCAAACAGGAUUAGAUACCCCGGUAGUCCACGCCCUAAACGAUGUCAACUGGUUGUUGGGGAUUUAUUUUCUCAGUAACGAAGCUAACGCGUGAAGUUGACCGCCUGGGGAGUACGGCCGCAAGGUUAAAACUCAAAUGAAUUGACGGGG
This 395-nucleotide ribosomal RNA is filed under the name uncultured bacterium. Its description in RNAcentral is "partial 16S ribosomal RNA". It matches the Rfam family "Bacterial small subunit ribosomal RNA", at positions 523 to 918 of the family's 1533-position model. The record is from RNAcentral.